AGAGUUUGUAUCCUGACUCAGGACGAACGCUGGCGGCGUGCUUAACACAUGCAAGUCGAACGAGAUCCAUUCAGUAGCAAUACUGAUGAAGAUCUAGUGGCGAACGGGUGCGUAACACGUGAGGAACUUGUCCCGGUCUCUGGGAUAACAAGUUGGAAACGACUGCUAAUACCGGAUGACGUCGGAACUUCGCAUGGAGUACUGACGAAAGGGUUACUGGAUCGGGAGAGCCUCGCGGCCUAUCAGCUUGUUGGUGGGGUAAUGGCCUACCAAGGCAUCGACGGGUAGCUGGUCUGAGAGGAUGAUCAGCCACACUGGGACUGAGACACGGCCCAGACUCCUACGGGAGGCAGCAGUGGGGAAUCCUGCACAAUGGGCGAAAGCCUGAUGCAGCAACGCCGCGUGCGGGAAGAAGGCCCUCGGGUUGUAAACCGCUUUCAGAAGGAACGAAACUGACGGUACUUUCAGAAGAAGGUGCGGCCAACUACGUG
RNAcentral lists this ribosomal RNA (491 nucleotides) under uncultured Ilumatobacter sp. RNAcentral's name for it is "bacterial SSU rRNA". It matches the Rfam family "Bacterial small subunit ribosomal RNA", at positions 8 to 507 of the family's 1533-position model. The record is from RNAcentral. Lineage: Bacteria; Bacillati; Actinomycetota; Acidimicrobiia; Acidimicrobiales; Ilumatobacteraceae.